This 457-nucleotide ribosomal RNA is filed under the name uncultured bacterium. Its description in RNAcentral is "bacterial SSU rRNA". It matches the Rfam family "Bacterial small subunit ribosomal RNA", at positions 338 to 795 of the family's 1533-position model. The record is from RNAcentral.
CCUACGGGUGGCAGCAGUGGGGAAUAUUGCGCAAUGGACGAAAGUCUGACGCAGCGACGCCGCGUGUGGGAUGAAGCCUUUCGGGGCGUAAACCACUGUUGCCCGGGACGAACCUCCCCUUUCGAGGGGACUGACGGUACCGGGUGAGGAAGCACCGGCUAACUCUGUGCCAGCAGCCGCGGUAAUACAGAGGGUGCGAGCGUUGUCCGGAAUCACUGGGCGUAAAGGGCGCGUAGGUGGCUGGGUAAGCGUGUGGUGAAAGUCCGGGGCUCAACCCCGGAUCUGCCGUGCGAACUGCCGAGCUUGAGCGAUGUAGAGGCAGGUGGAAUUUCGGGUGUAGCGGUGGAAUGCGUAGAGAUCCGAAAGAACACCAGUGGCGAAGGCGGCCUGCUGGGCAUCAGCUGACACUGAGGCGCGACAGCGUGGGGAGCAAACAGGAUUAGAUACCCUAGUAGUC